Molecule: ribosomal RNA, 253 nt
Filed under: uncultured bacterium
Lineage: Bacteria
Description: partial 16S ribosomal RNA
Rfam family: Bacterial small subunit ribosomal RNA
Source: RNAcentral
UACGGGGGGUGCGAGCGUUGUCCGGAAUCACUGGGCGUAAAGGGCGCGUAGGUGGUUUGAUAAGGGUGUGGUGAAAGUCCGGGGCUCAACCCCGGAUCUGCCGUGCCGACUGUCAAACUCGAGGACUGUAGAGGCAGACGGAAUUCCGGGUGUAGCGGUGGAAUGCGUAGAUAUCCGGAAGAACACCGGAGGCGAAGGCGGCUUGCUGGACCUGGUCUGACGCUGAGGCGCGAAAGCGUGGGGAGCGAACAGG